GCGGCCAUGAGGAGGCGGCUGGUGGCGGGGCUGGUGGCGUUGGAGGUGGCUGGGCUGGGCGGCGCGCUGCUGCUCUACCGCGCCAUGGACCGCAGCAGAGACUUCAGAUACACAAUGCAGAAGAGGUUUCCAUCAAUUCUGGAAGUUUAUUACAAAUCCAAUGAGUGGUCUGGAAUUCACGGCAUAAGGGAGAAUGACCAAAUGGCAUGGUUAAGCAGCAAGAAUUAAACCCUGUGUGCCUGAACUGUUUUUUCCUUUUGAUGAUGCUUUUCACAUCCCUGUUGUGAAGCCACCUGUCACGCUCUACUUCCCACUUGAUUUGCUUGAUAUCUGGAAAGAGGAAAGAUGGAAGAUAAGAAGUCAGCAGCUGAUGGACAUCAUGUGGAAUACAGAUAAAUCAUGUAGAAGUUAAGACUUGACUAAUUUAUUUAUAAACAUUAAUAAAAUGCAAACUGCUGAUUUUUUUGA
Lagopus leucura (white-tailed ptarmigan) is the source of this 468-nucleotide long non-coding RNA. RefSeq lists it as uncharacterized. The record is from RefSeq and is a predicted model, not a curated record. NCBI's taxonomy places the organism in Eukaryota, Metazoa, Chordata, Aves, Galliformes, Phasianidae. The transcript has 4 exons.